Small nuclear RNA from Oryctolagus cuniculus (rabbit), 62 nucleotides. Its record names the gene U7. It matches the Rfam family "U7 small nuclear RNA". From Rfam's summary of the family: Animal histone pre-mRNAs are spliced by a different mechanism than nuclear pre-mRNAs and self-splicing introns. This processing involves the U7 snRNP, which contains only one RNA species: U7. The 5' end of U7 RNA is thought to base-pair to a conserved spacer element downstream of the cleavage site in histone pre-mRNA. The record is from Ensembl. NCBI's taxonomy places the organism in Eukaryota, Metazoa, Chordata, Mammalia, Lagomorpha, Leporidae.
CAGUGUUACAGCUCUUUUCGAAUUUGUCUAGCAGGCUUUCCGGUUUUCACCGGAAAGCCCCC